RNAcentral lists this ribosomal RNA (529 nucleotides) under unidentified oral bacterium AP60-44. Its description in RNAcentral is "bacterial SSU rRNA". It matches the Rfam family "Bacterial small subunit ribosomal RNA", at positions 8 to 521 of the family's 1533-position model. The record is from RNAcentral.
AGAGUUUGAUCCUGGCUCAGGACGAACGCUGGCGGCGUGCCUAAUACAUGCAAGUAGAACGCUGAAGGAGGAGCUUGCUUCUCUGGAUGAGUUGCGAACGGGUGAGUAACGCGUAGGUAACCUGCCUGGUAGCGGGGGAUAACUAUUGGAAACGAUAGCUAAUACCGCAUAACAGUAGAUGUUGCAUGACAUUUGCUUAAAAGGUGCAAUUGCAUCACUACCAGAUGGACCUGCGUUGUAUUAGCUAGUUGGUGGGGUAACGGCUCACCAAGGCGACGAUACAUAGCCGACCUGAGAGGGUGAUCGGCCACACUGGGACUGAGACACGGCCCAGACUCCUACGGGAGGCAGCAGUAGGGAAUCUUCGGCAAUGGACGGAAGUCUGACCGAGCAACGCCGCGUGAGUGAAGAAGGUUUUCGGAUCGUAAAGCUCUGUUGUAAGAGAAGAACAGGUGUGAGAGUGGAAAGUUCACACUGUGACGGUAUCUUACCAGAAAGGGACGGCUAACUACGUGCCAGCAGCCGCGGU